RNAcentral lists this ribosomal RNA (253 nucleotides) under uncultured bacterium. RNAcentral's name for it is "partial 16S ribosomal RNA". It matches the Rfam family "Bacterial small subunit ribosomal RNA", at positions 524 to 776 of the family's 1533-position model. The record is from RNAcentral.
UACGUAGGGUGCGAGCGUUGUCCGGAAUUAUUGGGCGUAAAGAGCUCGUAGGUGGUUUGUCGCGUUGUUCGUGAAAUCUCACGGCUUAACUGUGAGCGUGCGGGCGAUACGGGCAGACUUGAGUACUGCAGGGGAGACUGGAAUUCCUGGUGUAGCGGUGGAAUGCGCAGAUAUCAGGAGGAACACCGGUGGCGAAGGCGGGUCUCUGGGCAGUAACUGACGCUGAGGAGCGAAAGCGUGGGGAGCGAACAGG